AUAUAUAUAUUUAGGAGUCUAGCCAGCUCCUUGGUUUUGCACCCCUCCCUGUCACAGGUGCCUCAUCUCAGGACCCUAUUUAGCCUUGUACUGCAGAGAACUUGAGAUGGAAGGAUUUCCCCAAGUGAGUAGCUCAUUUAGUAGACAGUUGGUUGUAAGAGUAGGACCUGCCAAAGAUGGGGUACAUUGACGUUGUGGCAGGCUUAUGCAAUGUAUG
Pelobates cultripes (western spadefoot toad) is the source of this 217-nucleotide non-coding RNA. The record is from the annotation of a GenBank genome assembly. NCBI's taxonomy places the organism in Eukaryota, Metazoa, Chordata, Amphibia, Anura, Pelobatidae.